AUUGAACGCUGGCGGCAUGCCUUACACAUGCAAGUCGAACGGCAGCGGGGACUUCGGUCCGCCGGCGAGUGGCGAACGGGUGAGUAAUGCAUCGGAACGUACCCGGAAGUGGGGGAUAACGUAGCGAAAGUUACGCUAAUACCGCAUAUUCUGUGGGCAGGAAAGAGGGGGAUCUUCGGACCUCUUGCUUUCGGAGCGGCCGAUGUCAGAUUAGCUAGUUGGUGAGGUAAAGGCUCACCAAGGCGACGAUCUGUAGCGGGUCUGAGAGGAUGAACCGCCGCACUGGAACUGAGAAACGGACCAGACUCCUACGGGAAGCAGCAGUGGGGAAUUUUGGACAAUGGGCGCAAGCCUGAUCCAGCCAUGCCGCGUGAGUGAAGAAGGCAUUCGGGUUGUAAAGCUCUUUCGGCCGGGAAGAAAUCGCAUGGAUUAAUACUCUGUGCGGAUGACGGUACCGGCAUAAGAAGCACCGGCUAACUACGUGCCAGCAGCCGCGGUAA
Molecule: ribosomal RNA, 500 nt
Filed under: uncultured bacterium
Lineage: Bacteria
Description: partial 16S ribosomal RNA
Rfam family: Bacterial small subunit ribosomal RNA
Source: RNAcentral